CACGUAGGAGGCAAACGUUAUCCGGAUUUACUGGGCGUAAAGCGCGUGUAGGUGGUUCUGUAAGUAGGGCGUGAAAGCUCCUGGCUCAACUGGGAGAGGCCGUUCUAAACUGCAGAGCUAGAGGAUGGUAGAGGGAGGUGGAAUUCCAGGUGUAGCGGUGGAAUGCGCAGAUAUCUGGAGGAACACCAGUGGCGAAGGCGGCCUCCUGGACCAUUCCUGACACUCAGACGCGAAAGCUAGGGUAGCAAACGGGAUUAGAUACCCCUGUAGU
Molecule: ribosomal RNA, 271 nt
Filed under: uncultured prokaryote
Description: partial 16S ribosomal RNA
Rfam family: Bacterial small subunit ribosomal RNA
Source: RNAcentral